Long non-coding RNA from Diceros bicornis minor, 398 nucleotides. RefSeq lists it as uncharacterized. The record is from RefSeq and is a predicted model, not a curated record. The transcript is spliced from 3 exons. Lineage: Eukaryota; Metazoa; Chordata; Mammalia; Perissodactyla; Rhinocerotidae.
CCCGUCGCUUACCUCCAUCCCCGUCCUCAGCUCUUCCUCAGGUGGAAGUCGCCAUUCUCUUACUCCUCAUCAUGGCCCUGCUGUACAAUCCCACUCCCUUUCUCAAACAACAGGUUUUGAAGUUUGAUUGAGACUUCCAAAGGGUUCUCCUCCAAAGCUGCACUGCUACACUGUUUUACCAGGGACCGGUUGCUUCACACCCCUGACAACUCUGAAUACCUUUCCUAAUGACCAGUAUGGUUAAAUAUCUUUUCACAUGUUUAUGAGACAUUUAGGUUUAUUUUAUGAACUGCCUUUUGUGAAUUUCCUGUUAUAUUAUUUGCCCUCUUUUUUGCUGAGUUACUUGUAGAAGCUCUUUAUAUAUUUCAGAUAUUUUCUAUAUGUGGCAAAUAGUUGCU